ACCCAAGUUAAGCAAAAUUCAAUAAUUUGACGAUAUAAAAAUUUAAUAAUAUGGCACAAAUAAAUGCACAAAUUGCAGUUAUCAUUUAUAAAGGACACAGAACCAACUCUAACACAACAAAAGGCAGAGCAUCUGAUUAGAAGCCUUCAUUUUCCCCAUUAAGCUAGGUUCAUAGGCAAGAUCAUCUACAUCAAUAAACGUAAAUAUGACCACCGUAGACCUGUAAAUACUGAGAAAUCAAUCCCUCCAUUAGAAUCAAACUACUUAAUUUUCUAAUAUAUACACCAACUUUUGACUUUUAUUACAUGCAUUAUGAAAAGCAUCCGGUGGACAAAAUAAAGCACUGAUGUCAAAAGAGUGACUCAAUCUUAACCAAAUCUCAAGCGUUGAUUUUUUAAUCUUAAAAGGAGAAUCUCACACAAUAAUUCUGUAAGAAAUUAAAUGACAUCCAAAAUUUAAAAUUAUGGAUAAAAAAUAGACAUGUUCCAACUGGGCAAGAAUAAAAUCAUGGAGAACAAAUGCAAUGGCAUAUUUAUGCCAAAUGUAGGCAAUAGCCUCAUCAAGGAACUAGCAAUCUCUGUGAAUUUAUGCUACUAACAUAAUGAAAUAGGUGUACUUACUGACCAUUUGCACAGAUCAAAGCUAUUUCACUGUUGUAUAAGUUGCUCAUGUUUCAGAAAAUAUGAUGAUCCACUAAACACAUACUUUUAUUUUUUAUUUCCCACACACCUGCAUGUAUUUGGGCGCAAAAUUGUGUCAGCGAACGAAUUUUCUCCAACCUUUUCCUUUUCCAAUUGAAUGAUUACUUUUUAAACCGAAUGAAUCUCAAAUGAGGUCUGAAGCACAAGGCUUAUCUUGUUGGAGCUCGGUAAACCCAUUAUAGUUAAUGCAUUCAGAUAUACAUGAACAAGAAAUACCGAGCAAACAUGCGACAGUAUCCUUUGGUCAAAAUCAUACAUAUACAUCAAGAAUGAAUGAUUCACCAAUUAAAUGGUGUGUCAUGUCAUCGGUGCUUAAUAUAAGCUAAACACCGAUGUUUAGGAGAUCAUUUCCGAUAUAUACAUUAUGGGCAUUAAUGAGAGAUGAAAUGUAGCGUCAAUGGCCAAUAUGAAAAGUGAAAACACAUCAUACAUAUACAAGUAUGAAUAUAUACACAAUUCACGAAUUACAGGCCAUUAAACACAAGCUAAUAUAGGUGACUUACUGACCAUUCACACAUCGAAUUGUUUAAUGUGACUGGCUAAUUGAUCACCAAUAAUUACCAAUAAAACACCCAUAAGUAAUGUAAAAUCCAGCAUGUUUAACAUAAAUGUUAGAGCUUACAUGGUUUGCUAAUCGGUCACAAGAAAAUACUUAAAUGGGGAUAAAUGGAAAUUAAGCAAGUUGCAACCUCUGAACAAGUGAUAAUUACAGAAACAAAUUAACCAAUGCAUAAAACAAGUAAACAGAUUUGGAUAUAUGGCCCAAAUUAGCAAGGUAUGAUCUUUGAAAUGUACAAACUCUGNCCCAAAAAUAAUACGUGAGACGUUGAAUUUCCUUCUUUCAGGUUCGAAUGCAACGCCAUUUUCAUCUUCUUCAUAGAGAAUUCUUCGUCAACAUAGUCAGGAGACCUCUUCUCACUUUUAUCAACAUUGGUUGAGGUUUUAAACACUUCUUUGACAGCUGGGGGGGGGUCUUGUUCCUUAUAUUCUGACAAAAUGGUUAUAGAUCCUGUAAUUCGACGUUAAGGAGAACGUGCACUUCCAUUUUCGUCAUCACUAUCUCCACAGAUGCCGAAGCUUCCCCUCCAUUAAUACCCUCUUUGGAAGCCAGCGACAACUUCCGUCAAGGGGUAGCCAACUUACGACAUUCAACUUCCGACCGUGGGAUAUAGACGGAGCCCAUGGGUAUGUGAGGUAAUGAGAUCGAUCUGUGUAGUAAAUUAACCCCUUUUCUUGAUUAAUUGAACUGGGGAUCUUGGAUUUGCAUGGAUGGUGGUGUUUAGUUUUCUGCAAGAUGGAGAGAGAGGAAUAUGAAAUGGAUUUUUUGGGAAAGUGCAAGUUAUUGGGAGAAUUGAAUUGACCGUAAUUGAUGCUUUCCAACUUAAUACACCUGCUUAUUUGUUCUCCUAUUCAGUUUUCCAAAAUACUGUAUAAAAAGUAAUAUAAUUAGAAUAAGAAUACAGUGGCAUGUAGAAUAGACAAUAAUAUAAAUUAAACCUAAAAUUUUCCCUUCAUAACUCAAACGCACAAAGCCACAUAUCACUCGGCAGUUCAAACCUAAAAUCAAGCAAUUCUAUCCAAUUCCAAUUUCCAAACUUUACUUUCCGCUGCCAGCACUCAAGCUAAGCCACCGUAGAAUCACCGACGUUUAGCCAUCGACAACUGCAGCACUACACCACCACUGUAUCACUGAUAACUAAUUCCACUCGUGAUGGCGGGACAUGAGUGGUGAGCCUCCUGCCUCUCUUCAUUUCUCUUUUUUUUUUUUUUUUUGGUUUCUGUUCGUCUAGUUCGUUUAUUGAUUUAUUAUUUAUCAAAUUAUGAGUUAUCAGUUAAAAUAAUCAGUUAUGAUUUAUGAAUUUAUGUUUUAUGAGUAUUUACUGUUAGUUUGUGACUUCAUGAGUCACGAACCUCUAAUAGUAUUUACGAAAAUUGGAGGCUUCAUGAGUUUGAGGAUAUGCGAUAUCAUAUAUGUGGACUAUGAAAUUCGUGAAAAUUGAGGAUUUUGUGAAAAUUAGGGAUUUUGGAAAUAAAAACUCUUAGUAAUUGUUGACUUAUGGAAUCUACUAGUAUUUGUGAAAUUUGGAAAUGGAAACUUGAUGAUUGUUAAUAUGUGAUUUACGUUUUCCUGCAUUUAUAUAUUAAUUAAAAUUUUUUAAUAUUAUUUAAUAAAAUAUUAAUAAACGAUCUUGUUAAUGCAUCAGUCGACGGUUACCAACUGCCCUAGUUGGCUCCAACUCCUAGAUCCACCACUGACCAAGACAAAAUAGUGAAGAGAAAGGUAACGUUUACUUUGUAAAGGAAAUCUAGUCCCCGUUUGAUCCCCAUUUUUGGGUAAAAUAUGUUAUAGAAUAGUGAUUUUUUGAAUAAUAUGUGGUUAAAAAGCAAGAAAAAUGUUUAAAAUACGCGUAUAGUUAUUUUAUGGGAGAAUGUAUAGUUGAAAAUGAGAUUUGAAAAAAUAAAUUCUUGAAAAAAUGGGGCUCAAAUAGGGCAAUCAUAAUUCGUAUUCCUGAAAUCUAAUGUUGUAGUUCCUCUUAUCCACUUUUUUGUUUUCCUCCGGCUUGUUCAUUAGUAU
This 3276-nucleotide long non-coding RNA is filed under the name Olea europaea subsp. europaea. The record is from RNAcentral. Lineage: Eukaryota; Viridiplantae; Streptophyta; Magnoliopsida; Lamiales; Oleaceae.